UCCACGCCGUAAACGAUGUUCACUCGCUGUUUGCGAUACACAGCAAGCGGCUGAGCGAAAGCAUUAAGUGAACCACCUGGGGAGUACGAUCGCAAGGUUGAAACUCAAAGGAAUUGACGGGGGCCCGCACAAGCGGAGGAACAUGUGGUUUAAUUCGAUGAUACGCGAGGAACCUUACCUGGGCUUAAAUGUAGAUUGCAUAAGGUGGAAACAUCUUUUCCCUUCGGGGCUAUUUGCAAGGUGCUGCAUGGUUGUCGUCAGCUCGUGCCGUGAGGUGUCGGGUUAAGUCCCAUAACGAGCGCAACCCCUAUCGUUAGUUGCCAGCGGGUCAAGCCGGGGACUCUAGCGAGACUGCCACCGUAAGGUGAGAGGAAGGUGGGGAUGACGUCAAAUCAGCACGGCCCUUAUGUCCAGGGCUACACACGUGUUACAAUGGCAGGUACAAAGGGCAGCUACCGGGCGACCGGAUGCUAAUCUCUAAAGCC
Molecule: ribosomal RNA, 485 nt
Filed under: uncultured bacterium
Lineage: Bacteria
Description: bacterial SSU rRNA
Rfam family: Bacterial small subunit ribosomal RNA
Source: RNAcentral